UUACCUUGGGCAGUAUGGCCAUUUUCAUGAUAUUGAUUCUUCCUACCCAUGAGCAUGGAAUGUUCUUCCAUUUGUUUAUAUUCUCUUUUAUUUCAUUGAGCAGUGGUUUGUAGUUCUCCUUGAAGAGGUCCUUCACAUCCCUUGUCAGUUGGAUUCCUAGGUAUUUUAUUCUCUUUGAAGCAAUUGUGAAUGGGAGUUCACUCAUGAUUUGGCUCUCUGUUUGUCUGUUAUUGGUGUAUAAGAAUGCUUGUGAUUUUUGCACAUUGAUUUUGUAUCCUGAGACUUUGCUGAAGUUGCUGAAGGAGAUUUUGGGCUGAGACAAUGGGGUUUUCUAGAUAUACAAUCAUGUCAUCUGCAAACAGGGACAAUUUGACUUCCUCUUUUGCUAAUUGAAUACCUUAAGUAUUUAGGAAUCUUCCCCAUUUCUUUUUAUCAGGUCGAAGUAAGUAAGUACAUAUUUUAGGGUCUUCUGUUCUUGAGGGGUUUUUUUUUUUGUUUUUUGCUUUUUGUUUUUUUUCCUAUUGGACGUUUGACACCUAUAUUUUUCUCUGGCAUUUUGGAAAUUUGCUUCCCAAAGUCAAAAAUAUAAUGCUUAACUUUUCCCGAUUUGGCCAACAUCAACUUUAAGAUUCUGUGGUUAUCUUUCUACCAAGAGAUUUGUCAAUUUUACUGUCCCAAUCAUUUCCUUUUUACUGAUUAGAAUUAGGCCUUUGUGUAGCUGUUCACCUAAUUACUUCCUCUACCUUGUGAAAAAGAGCAGGGACACUAACAUUUGCUGGGUGCCUACUACAUGCCAAAAGUACUUAAUCGCAUGCAGUAAUGUCAUUUAAUCUUCAAAACAACUCUCCAAAGGAAGUGUCACUCUCCUUGUUUGAUUUCUUGCUUCCCAAAUGGAAGGUCCUUUGUAUUAAUAGUAUCUGUCAAAUUUCAUACAAUACUUAAAUAUGUUCUUGAUACAUACUUCAAUAUAACCAACAGGAUGAGGCAGUAUUCGACAAAGUAAAAAAUAAGAUGAAUAUUUUUAGUGAUUUAUAAGUUACUUGAGGAAAUCAUGCUGUUUAUGCUUUUCCUUUUUAGGUAUUCUUUGUGAAUUUUGCUAUUUGUGUGUGAAUAUAUCUGUUUCGAUAAUGAGUAACCAUAUGAAAUGGAUAAUCGUAUGAAAAUUCAUUUGUAAUUCAGUAGAUUGCCAGGGAUUUUAGGUUAGUUAUGGAGGUUUUUUUUUUUCUUUUGGAGAGUGAGGAGAUUGGCAUACAGUUUCAGAUUGUUUAUCUGAAAGUUGGAAGUGUGACUAAGCUCGAAGAAAGGAAGAGAGGGACAAAGAAAGGCAGGAGGUGCCCCUAAGUGGGAACCUACCAGGACAUUCAAAGAAAGAGCAGUAAGUUCUGAAUGUGCUGGGACAACCUGGGUGAUAUGCAUGGAUAUGGGCUGUGGAAGCUGAGCAUUUUAAUGAUAACUUAGGGAAAGGAGGCAUGGCCAUGAUGUAAAACUCUCAAAUCCCAACCCCUAAUCCAACCUUAAAAUCUGAGUCUUCUAAAGGGCUGUUGUAACCAUGAAAGGACCAUAAGAAAGGCAAUUCACAGAAAAUGAGGCCAUGUGGCCAAGAAAUAUAAGAAAAACAGUAAAAGCCCUUAAUCUCAAUAGCAAUAGAGUGGAUGCAAAUGAAUAUAAUGAGUUACCAUGUUGUUCUUACUGGAUUGGAAAAAAAAUUAGAAUGUCUAAAUAACAUGUAUCAUCCAGGAUGCGGUAAAAUGGGAGCUCUUGUACCCUGCAGGCAGGCAUUUAAAUUGGUACAACCACUUUGGAUUGCUGCUUUGUAGUAUCUGGUGCAACUGAAGAUGAACAUGCCCUGUGACACAGCAACUGCACUUCUAGGUCAAUACCCUAAUUAUAUUCUUACUGUGGUUCACAAGAAGGUAUGUAAGAGGUCAUUCCCUGAGCACUGUUUAGAAUAGGGGCAAACUGGAAAUCCUCUAAAUGUCUAUCAAUGAAGGAAUAGAUAAAUUGUAAUAUGUUCAUAUAAAAUACUGCAUAAAUAAGUGAAAUUUAUAAAUAUACUAACAUGAAUGAAUCUUGAAAAUAGAGUUGGGAGAUAAAAGCAAGCUGUUGAAGAACAUGGUCAGUAUCCUCUCACUUACGUAAGUUAAAAACUCCAAAGAACAUUAUCUAAAUUGGUAAUGGCAUAGACGUGUAGUAAAAUAUAAAAAUAUUAACUAAAAGCUCUAUACACUUCAGGAUAUUGUUAGUAUAGUAAGGCAGGAAGUGGAUAGCAUUGGGGUCAGACAGUGGUUAUGUUUGGUGGUUAUGUUUGGUUACUUUAGUUAUGUUAGUAACAUUUUUUUUUUAAAGAAGGAUCCGGAAUAAUUAUGGUAAAAUAAUAGUAUUUGCUGAAACUAGAUGACUGGUGUAUUGGAUUUCAUACACUAUUUUCUAAGUUUGUUAUGAACGCUUAAAAUAUAUAUGUAUGUAGUAAAAUUAAUGUAAAUUUGUACAAAUAAAAAUAAAUGGCAUGUGAUAUAUGGC
RNAcentral lists this long non-coding RNA (2520 nucleotides) under Pongo abelii (Sumatran orangutan). Its description in RNAcentral is "lincRNA". The record is from RNAcentral. Lineage: Eukaryota; Metazoa; Chordata; Mammalia; Primates; Hominidae.